UUUUUCACACGUUGACCUGCCGCAAAUUAGUUAAUCACAGGCUAAUGAGUUUUACAGUGUUGACAAGCAAAAUCUAUGAUCUAAAUGCGUUCAGUUCGAAGUUUUGAUCCAAAAUUAAAUACUGUAAAAGAUACGCAGAUUACAGUUUGAGUGUAAAAUCACCUGCAAACACCGAGACGUAUUGUUGAUUUUCUUACCAAACUUUCAAGAAAUCGACUGACUCCGACCCUCGGCUAUCAAAAGGUAUUUGGUUUCGUUCAAAUUGGAACGUUUUGCGUAAUUCACAGCUGGUAUGACGAUGCAAGGAAUGUUGUGAUCUCAGGCUGACUUCAUUUAUCAUUUAGUGUUGUGUUUCAACGGCACAAACCUUCAACGGGAACUGUUGGGCGGCUUUCAUAUCAACCAUCCCCUUAUUUUGCAAAAGUUUGGGGAUACUGCUUUGAAUUGAAUGCAAGGCGAAUAAAGAAUAAAAAAAGAACAAAAAGUCAGUUAAAGUAAUUACUUGUAGUCGGAGGUGUGGGUCCGCACACAUUGUUCUGUAAUGGAAGGACAACAACAACUUCUUUCAGAAGAAACGACUGGAUAUAAAGGUAUAGAAGCACCCAAUCUAAUUCGAAAAGACAUCACAUCAAAUGAAGUGGAGUCUACAGAACAAGAUGUGAAACUAAAUGAAGAAAAAAAUAUCAUCUUAAAUGGCGAAGAAGCUAGCUCCAGUGAAACAAAACAAGAUGGCGAGAUUCACGUCAAAAUUGAACCUGAAGAUCAUGCACAAGAGGAGAAAAAAUCUAACAA
Long non-coding RNA from Dendronephthya gigantea, 792 nucleotides. RefSeq lists it as uncharacterized. Lineage: Eukaryota; Metazoa; Cnidaria; Anthozoa; Malacalcyonacea; Nephtheidae. The record is from RefSeq and is a predicted model, not a curated record. The transcript is spliced from 3 exons.